Molecule: ribosomal RNA, 111 nt
Filed under: Chinchilla lanigera (long-tailed chinchilla)
Lineage: Eukaryota; Metazoa; Chordata; Mammalia; Rodentia; Chinchillidae
Source: RNAcentral
GUUCACAGCCACACCACCCUGAAAGUAUUCCGUUUUUGUUUGAUCUUAGAAGCUAAGCAGGAUAGGGCCUCAUUACUACUUCAACGGGAGCUCAAGAAGAGAUUGUGGACA